CCUACGGGUGGCUGCAGUGAGGAAUAUUGGUCAAUGGACGAGAGUCUGAACCAGCCAAGUAGCGUGAAGGAUGACUGCCCUAUGGGUUGUAAACUUCUUUUAUAUGGGAAUAAAAUGUUCCACGUGUGGGAUUUUGUAUGUACCAUAUGAAUAAGGAUCGGCUAACUCCGUGCCAGCAGCCGCGGUAAUACGGAGGAUCCGAGCGUUAUCCGGAUUUAUUGGGUUUAAAGGGAGCGUAGGUGGAUUGUUAAGUCAGUUGUGAAAGUUUGCGGCUCAACCGUAAAAUUGCAGUUGAAACUGGCAGUCUUGAGUACAGUAGAGGUGGGCGGAAUUCGUGGUGUAGCGGUGAAAUGCUUAGAUAUCACGAAGAACUCCGAUUGCGAAGGCAGUUCACUGGACUGCAACUGACACUGAGGCUCGAAAGUGUGGGUAUCAAACAGGAGUAGAGACCACUGUAGUC
RNAcentral lists this ribosomal RNA (460 nucleotides) under uncultured bacterium. RNAcentral's name for it is "partial 16S ribosomal RNA". It matches the Rfam family "Bacterial small subunit ribosomal RNA", at positions 338 to 795 of the family's 1533-position model. The record is from RNAcentral.